GACGAACGCUGGCGGCGUGCCUAAUACAUGCCAGUAGAACGCUGAAGAGAGGAGCUUGCUCUUCUUGGAUGAGUUGCGAACGGGUGAGUAACGCGUAGGUAACCUGCCUUGUAGCGGGGGAUAACUAUUGGAAACGAUAGCUAAUACCGCAUAACAAUGGAUGACACAUGUCAUUUAUUUGAAAGGGGCAAUUGCUCCACUACAAGAUGGACCUGCGUUGUAUUAGCUAGUAGGUGAGGUAAUGGCUCACCUAGGCGACGAUACAUAGCCGACCUGAGAGGGUGAUCGGCCAAACUGGGACUGAGACACGGCCCAGACUCCUACGGGAGGCAGCAGUAGGGAAUCUUCGGCAAUGGGGGCAACCCUGACCGAGCAACGCCGCGUGAGUGAAGAAGGUUUUCGGAUCGUAAAGCUCUGUUGUAAGUCAAGAACGGGUGUGAGAGUGGAAAGUUCACACUGUGACGGUAGCUUACCAGAAAGGGACGGCUAACUACGUG
RNAcentral lists this ribosomal RNA (497 nucleotides) under uncultured bacterium. Its description in RNAcentral is "partial 16S ribosomal RNA". It matches the Rfam family "Bacterial small subunit ribosomal RNA", at positions 28 to 507 of the family's 1533-position model. The record is from RNAcentral.